GAUGAACGCUGGCGGCGUGCCUAAUACAUGCAAGUCGAGCGAACGGACGAGAAGCUUGCUUCUCUGAUGUUAGCGGCGGACGGGUGAGUAACACGUGGAUAACCUACCUAUAAGACUGGGAUAACUUCGGGAAACCGGAGCUAAUACCGGAUAAUAUUUUGAACCGCAUGGUUCAAAAGUGAAAGACGGUCUUGCUGUCACUUAUAGAUGGAUCCGCGCUGCAUUAGCUAGUUGGUAAGGUAAUGGCUUACCAAGGCAACGAUGCAUAGCCGACCUGAGAGGGUGAUCGGCCACACUGGAACUGAGACACGGUCCAGACUCCUACGGGAGGCAGCAGUAGGGAAUCUUCCGCAAAGGGCGAAAGCCUGACGGAGCAACGCCGCGUGAGUGAUGAAGGUCUUCGGAUCGUAAAACUCUGUUAUUAGGGAAGAACAUAUGUGUAAGUAACUGUGCACAUCUUGACGGUACCUAAUCAGAAAGCCACGGCUAACUACGUG
This 497-nucleotide ribosomal RNA is filed under the name uncultured bacterium. RNAcentral describes it as "partial 16S ribosomal RNA". It matches the Rfam family "Bacterial small subunit ribosomal RNA", at positions 28 to 507 of the family's 1533-position model. The record is from RNAcentral.